GCCGCGGUAAUACGUAGGGUCCAAGCGUUAAUCGGAAUUACUGGGCGUAAAGCGUGCGCAGGCGGUUGUGCAAGACCGAUGUGAAAUCCCCGAGCUUAACUUGGGAAUUGCAUUGGUGACUGCACGGCUAGAGUGUGUCAGAGGGGGGUAGAAUUCCACGUGUAGCAGUGAAAUGCGUAGAGAUGUGGAGGAAUACCGAUGGCGAAGGCAGCCCCCUGGGAUAACACUGACGCUCAUGCACGAAAGCGUGGGGAGCAAACAGGAUUAGAUACCCUGGUAGUCCACGCCCUAAACGAUGUCAACUAGUUGUUGGGGAUUCAUUUCCUUAGUAACGUAGCUAACGCGUGAAGUUGACCGCCUGGGGAGUACGGUCGCAAGAUUAAAACUCAAAGGAAUUGACGGGGACCCGCACAAGCGGUGG
RNAcentral lists this ribosomal RNA (421 nucleotides) under uncultured Ralstonia sp. RNAcentral describes it as "bacterial SSU rRNA". It matches the Rfam family "Bacterial small subunit ribosomal RNA", at positions 514 to 935 of the family's 1533-position model. The record is from RNAcentral. Lineage: Bacteria; Pseudomonadati; Pseudomonadota; Betaproteobacteria; Burkholderiales; Burkholderiaceae.